AUUUGGAUAUAUCAACAAAGUUGAAAUGGUAAAUUGGCCACCGUAACGAAAGCUGUUCUUGUUUCAAAUUUUUGUAGGCGACGGAAACGUGACUGGAAAAUUUGAAUUGGAUUACGAUGAAAGUGAAGAAAACGCAAACGACGAAGAGGAAGAAACUGAGACUGUUGUGCCGUGGAAUUCCAUGAUUGAUCCCGUUUUUGUCUAGUAACUGAGAUUGGUACACCAUUGGUACACCCAUUCCUUUCUCUUCGACCGAUAUCGCCGUGUAAAUGAUAGACAACUUGGCAGGACAGCAUUACACCAGGAAGGACGUGGAGCAAACGAGGAAACUGGAACGGAGUAAUCCCGAAUUUCUUUCGAUACUCAAUUUAAAACUACUCAGUGGAGCGUAUUAUGUAGAGUGAUUUUAGGCGCUCGAUGAAAAAUUUUCUGUUGGUCUCGACUGUCAAGAAAACGAAAAGGAUUCAAGCUGCGGUGUAGGGAAGUUUGUAAGAAACUAAGUUGCGUUUGAUUCUCUCGCAUUAAUGAAGCGAGCAAAUCACGAAAGAAGUCAAUAAAACUGUUGUAAUAUUAAA
Stylophora pistillata is the source of this 575-nucleotide long non-coding RNA. NCBI's taxonomy places the organism in Eukaryota, Metazoa, Cnidaria, Anthozoa, Scleractinia, Pocilloporidae. The record is from RefSeq and is a predicted model, not a curated record.